Molecule: ribosomal RNA, 402 nt
Filed under: Pseudomonas protegens
Lineage: Bacteria; Pseudomonadati; Pseudomonadota; Gammaproteobacteria; Pseudomonadales; Pseudomonadaceae
Description: bacterial SSU rRNA
Rfam family: Bacterial small subunit ribosomal RNA
Source: RNAcentral
CAUCCCCCAGGCCUUCCCAUGCAGUCGAGCGGUAGAGAGAAGCUUGCUUCUCUUGAGAGCGGCGGACGGGUGAGUAAUACCUAGGAAUCUGCCUGAUAGUGGGGGAUAACGUUCGGAAACGGACGCUAAUACCGCAUACGUCCUACGGGAGAAAGCAGGGGACCUUCGGGCCUUGCGCUAUCAGAUGAGCCUAGGUCGGAUUAGCUAGUUGGUGAGGUAAUGGCUCACCAAGGCUACGAUCCGUAACUGGUCUGAGAGGAUGAUCAGUCACACUGGAACUGAGACACGGUCCAGACUCCAACGGGAGGCAGCAGUGGGGAAUAUUGGACAAUGGGCGAAAGCCUGAUCCAGCCAUGCCGCGUGUGUGAAGAAGGUCUUCGGAUUGUAAAGCACUUUAAGUUG